AUGGCAGGUCGAGCCGUCCUGGUCAAGUCCGUCCUCACGGCCCAGGCUACAUUCCAUGCCACUUCGCUUGCUCUUCCUGUUGGCACCGUGGAUGCACUUGAGAAGGUUGAGCGAGCCUUUUUGUGGGCGGGGUCCGACAAAGUUUCUAGCGGGCAGUGUAAGGUGAAAUGGAAAACCGUGUGUUUGCCCAAGAUAUUUGGGGGCCUUGUCAUCCUAGAUAUUCACAAAUAUGCUCGAGCUCUCCGGCUUAGGUGGCCGUGGUACGUGUGGACGGAGCUGGAUAGAGCUUGGGUCAGUUUGAGCAAGCCUUGGGAUGCCAAGGACAUGGAGCUUUUCUACGACGUCACCACCAUUAUUGUGGGAAACGGUCUGUUGGCAAGGUUCUGGCUAUCCCCUUGGCUCAAUGGAGAAAACCCCAAGUAUAUUGCUCCUCUCGUGUUUCAGAUCUCAGAAAGAAAGAAUUCUUUAGUGCGGGAUGCACUCUUGGACAAUGCUUGGCUUUCAAGAAUUUACAUGUCUCAAGGGCUCACGGUCGACCACAUCCACCAAUUCUGCACACUUUGGGCGAGGCUUGAUAUUGUCCUCUUGCAACAUGACACUCCAGACACCAUCAUUUGGGAUCGCACGCCAAAUGGCUCUUACUCCACUGCUUCUGCCUAUCUCGCGCAAUUUGAGGGAGCCAUCACCACAUGCAUGAAGCCCGCUGUCGGUGUCAAAACCGGCAGAUCUCGGGUAGGGGGUCCCGAACUGUGCGUCUAA
This 759-nucleotide ribosomal RNA is filed under the name Triticum aestivum (bread wheat). RNAcentral's name for it is "partial small subunit ribosomal RNA". Lineage: Eukaryota; Viridiplantae; Streptophyta; Magnoliopsida; Poales; Poaceae. The record is from RNAcentral.